AGAGUUUGAUCCUGGCUCAGGACGAACGCUGGCGGCAUGCCUAAUACAUGCAAGUCGAACGAUGAAGCUUCCUGCUUGCAGGAAGCGGAUUAGUGGCGAACGGGUGAGUAACACGUGGGGAAUCUGCCCAUGAGCGAGGAAUAACAUUCGGAAACGGAUGCUAAUACCUCAUAAGUUCUCUGACCUCCUGGUCAUUGAAUAAAAGACGGCCUUUGUGCUGUCACUCAUGGAUGAUCCCGCGGCGUAUUAGUUAGUUGGUGAGGUAAUGGCUCACCAAGACCAUGAUACGUAGCCGACCUGAGAGGGUGAUCGGCCACACUGGGACUGAGACACGGCCCAGACUCCUACGGGAGGCAGCAGUAGGGAAUCUUCCACAAUGGGUGCAAACCUGAUGGAGCAAUGCCGCGUGAAUGAAGAAGGUCUUCGGAUCGUAAAGUUCUGUUAUUAGUGAAGAACAAAUCGAGGAGUAACUGUCUCGAUUUUGACGGUAACUAACCAGAAAGUCACGGCUAACUACGUGCCAGCAGCCGCGGUAAUACGUAGGUGACAAGCGUUGUCCGGAAUUAUUGGGCGAAAAGGAAGCGCAGGCGGGUGGGAAUAGUCUGAUGUGAAAAGCCCCCCGCUUAACCCGGGGAAGGUCCUUGGAAAACUGGUCCACUUUGAAUUGCAAAAAAGGGAAGGUGGAAAUUUCCUGGUGGAGGCGGGGAAAUUGCCGUAAAUUAUUUGGAAGGAACCCCCGUGGGCGAAAGGCAACUUUUCUGGUUUG
RNAcentral lists this ribosomal RNA (766 nucleotides) under uncultured bacterium. RNAcentral's name for it is "bacterial SSU rRNA". It matches the Rfam family "Bacterial small subunit ribosomal RNA", at positions 8 to 736 of the family's 1533-position model. The record is from RNAcentral.